RNAcentral lists this ribosomal RNA (253 nucleotides) under uncultured bacterium. Its description in RNAcentral is "partial 16S ribosomal RNA". It matches the Rfam family "Bacterial small subunit ribosomal RNA", at positions 524 to 776 of the family's 1533-position model. The record is from RNAcentral.
UACGUAGGAUGCAAGCGUUGUCCGGAAUUAUUGGGCGUAAAGCGUUCGUAGGUGGUUAUCUAAGUCUGGUGUUAAAGACGGGAGCUCAACUCCCGCAUGGCAUCGGAAACUGGAUGGCUAGAGUGUGAAAGAGGUAACUGGAAUUCCUGGUGUAGCGGUGAAAUGCGCAGAUAUCAGGAGGAACACCUGUGGCGAAAGCGAGUUACUGGUUCAUUACUGACACUGAGGAACGAAAGCUAGGGUAGCAAAAGGG